CGUGUAGGCGGUUUGGUUAGUCGGUCGUGUAAUCCCUCGGCUCAACCGAGGAACUGCGAUCGAUACUGCCAGACUAGAGUGCGGGAGAGGAGAGUGGAAUUCCCAGUGUAGCGGUGAAAUGCGUAGAUAUUGGGAGGAACACCAGUGGCGAAGGCGGCUCUCUGGACCGCAACUGACGCUGAGGCGCGAAAGCGUGGGGAGCAAACG
This 207-nucleotide ribosomal RNA is filed under the name uncultured bacterium. RNAcentral describes it as "partial 16S ribosomal RNA". It matches the Rfam family "Bacterial small subunit ribosomal RNA", at positions 568 to 774 of the family's 1533-position model. The record is from RNAcentral.